Molecule: transfer RNA, 72 nt
Filed under: Camelus bactrianus (Bactrian camel)
Lineage: Eukaryota; Metazoa; Chordata; Mammalia; Artiodactyla; Camelidae
Also listed under: 2 other names
Rfam family: tRNA
About the family: Transfer RNA (tRNA) molecules are approximately 80 nucleotides in length. Their secondary structure includes four short double-helical elements and three loops (D, anti-codon, and T loops).
Source: Rfam by way of RNAcentral
GAGGAUAUAGCUUAGUGGUGGAGCACAUGCUUAGCAUGUACGAGGUCCUGGGCCCAAUCCCCAGUACCGCCA